RNAcentral lists this long non-coding RNA (333 nucleotides) under Solanum tuberosum (potato). Its description in RNAcentral is "long non-coding RNA (STUB_LNC000256)". Lineage: Eukaryota; Viridiplantae; Streptophyta; Magnoliopsida; Solanales; Solanaceae. The record is from RNAcentral.
UCCAAUCUUAAGGUGGGUCAAGAAUCGACCUACCUACUAAUGUUAGUCGACUCCACCCUAUACAAUAAGAUGUAAUAUUAAACUAAGCACCUAGAGAGGACUCCUCUCUUAAUACAAAGUACUAAUAAUACAUAAAUAAGGGAGACUCUCCCCUUACAAGAAAUUUAGAUUUAUGUCUAAUCAAACUACUAUACCUAAAGACAUAGUAAUUGGAAAAAUAAUAUCUCAUGAAUCAACUUGUCUAGGGAUUGUAUGAGUCCUUCUUACGACACUUGGUAUAUCAUGAGUAUUAAUGAGAUUCUCUCAAGUUUGUCACUAUUACUUUCUUCACUG